GAACGCGAAGAACCUUACCAUCCCUUGACAUGGCAUGUUACCUCGGGAGACCGGGGAUCCUCUUCGGAGGCGUGCACACAGGUGCUGCAUGGCUGUCGUCAGCUCGUGUCGUGAGAUGUUGGGUUAAGUCCCGCAACGAGCGCAACCCACGUCCUUAGUUGCCAUCAUUCAGUUGGGCACUCUAGGGAGACUGCCGGUGAUAAGCCGCGAGGAAGGUGUGGAUGACGUCAAGUCCUCAUGGCCCUUACGGGAUGGGCUACACACGUGCUACGAUGGCGGUGACAGUGGGACGCGAAACCGCGAGGUCGAGCAAAUCCCCAAAAACCGUCUCAGUUCGGAUUGCACUCUGCAACUCGGGUGCAUGAAGGCGGAAUCGCUAGUAAUCGUGGAUCAGCACGCCACGGUGAAUACGUUCCCGGGUCUUGUACACACC
Molecule: ribosomal RNA, 433 nt
Filed under: uncultured bacterium
Lineage: Bacteria
Description: bacterial SSU rRNA
Rfam family: Bacterial small subunit ribosomal RNA
Source: RNAcentral